GGUUUGGCACAAGACUUCCAGAGCAGGACAUGUAACCCACAAAAUUUAGCCAGUGUCCAGGCUUUGCUCCUUGUGAGAUUUAACGAAGAUGAUGGUCUUAAAAUCGUUUUACCACAAGAAAGCUUCCCCUACAAGGAACAUACCUGUUGUCUUCCCCCCUGAGGCCUCACACUGCCAGUCUGAGGAGUAAAAUGAUAGAUCCAGAGGGUUUACCACAGAUCAUGGGGAGACAAUACAGAUUUUUUAAGAGAGGUGCUUUUGAGACCCACGGAUCAUAAAGACAUUCUCACCUGAUGAAAGGUCUUGAGAUGGCCAGGACGGUCCGGAUGAACCAUGUUGGCAUCUCUUCAGCCAGCCGAUGCCGGGCAUCUUCCUGCGAGGAGUUGCUCCGUUCAGGUAAACAAUCAUGUAAUCUUCUGCCACCAGAAGCUCCAGGCUGCUCACAACGUACCUGGCAGACAGAACGACCAAGCUCAGAUCUGACUCAGACUGUAAAGCAACAUAUAUGAGGAUGAUAUGUGCUUCACAAAGUAAAAUUCUUGAGGCCAAAAUGAUUGUUGUUAGACUGAUUCAUCUUUCAUUCCUAGUAAUUACUGUUCAGGAUCAUUUAGAACAUGACUGGACAUGCAUAUCCCAUAGAAACUUGUUUUCCCAGUCAUUUCCUUUGAUGAGUCACACAGUGAAAAAAGGGAAAAAAAGCGGAAGAAUAAUCGCACGAAAAGGCUCAUAAUAAAGCAUGCUGCUGUAAAAGAGUCCCUUAAGAGACCAGGACGGAUCUCACAGGAAGAGGUUCUCCAUGAUGUAUGUGUAGUCCUCACAGCUGCUGUCAGGAAGAUAGCAGGCUGCAAACACGAUGAUGGCAUUC
Molecule: long non-coding RNA, 865 nt
Organism: Xiphias gladius (swordfish)
Lineage: Eukaryota; Metazoa; Chordata; Actinopteri; Istiophoriformes; Xiphiidae
Exons: 4
Source: RefSeq, a predicted model, not a curated record